Molecule: unclassified non-coding RNA, 2041 nt
Filed under: Penaeus japonicus
Lineage: Eukaryota; Metazoa; Arthropoda; Malacostraca; Decapoda; Penaeidae
Description: uncharacterized LOC122253034, transcript variant X2
Source: RNAcentral
GCUAAAACGUUUUGUGCCUGAAUUUGUCGGCCAGUUCGAGUUGCUGGUUUACUCUUCGAAAUCGACUUGUUUCGUGAAGGGUUUGUGUUCGAAGACAAGGAAGUGCAUAUUCAAAUUCCAACUUAGUGUAAUACUGUGACAAUAGAAAGUUUAGUGAUUUACUGGGAACGGAAAUAUGGAUCUUUCCGCGUGGCGUUCAGCUCGACCGAAACACAGCGGCUCCGGAAACUACACUAGUAUUCAUGAAAUCAGUAAGAGCAAUGAUAUAAAUCAAUACUUUAUCAAAUAAAAUAACAUAGCAUCAUUGCGUCACUGGACAGGAGUUGCAGUUCCCUCUCCCGUGUAAACACCCGAGAACCUUCUCCCUAAAUGUCAGACACGUGUCGUAAAACCUGGCAUACAUCAUGGCAGAGAUACCGGGACGAAAAGACGCAGCUGACGACGAGAACGAAAACUUCAAAACAUAUCUGCAUGACCUCCUCUCGGACCUGGGGAUACAGCUGAGCCCCGGGGGAAUGGGAAUCGUUGAGAUCGACCACUUACCAUCCGACGAGGAAGUUUCUUGUUCCCUGUUGGCUCCCGUCGAGUCGCCGCCGACGGUUCCCGAAGGCGGAGAAGAAGUGAGGGCGAGGAAAAGGAAGAGAUUCACUGGGACUAUUAAGGCUCACGUGUCAUCUCCUGACCUCUCGUCUGACGAAGCAGACGCAGUGACGUCUCCUGUCCCGAGCCAAGAAGCAGCAGAGCAGCCUAGCCCGUCCUUCAGAAACCCGGAGAAGAAGCCGAAGAUUUACCAGAUUGAAAAACCUUUCAACGACCCGGAAUUAGAGAGGAAGAGAAUCAACGCAAUCACAGCCAAGCAAAACAGAGACAAGAAAAAGAUGGAAAUUGACAGACUGCGCGCGGACGUCAGAAAUCUCAGCCGCGUGAACAGCCAGUGCAGCAAGGCGCUGAAGCGCACGAACGCAGACAUCCAGAAGCUCUAUGAGAAGCUGGAGUCUUCGAGGAAGCACAACUCGCUCCUCCAGGAGAAGAUCAAGCAGAAGGAGAUGGAGAUCCGUGGACAACAGGAGAAGUUCGUGCUCUUCCGCGGCCACCUCGACCUUAUCCUCAGCAGCCUCGAGGACGACGGCCCGGCCAAGAAGCUGAUCGCAAACCUUCUGAAGAAAUUGCCAGAGGAAGCUGAGAUGACCUAGGAGCUGGUCUUUAUCGUCGUCGUGAUGGUACAACAGGCGAAAGAAUAUGUGGAGGUGUAAACUGCUAUAGAUACCACGUUCAGCAACGUUGACAAGUUCCUACUUUUCUCAAGGAGGAGAGAGUGUGCGCUGCACUCUCAUCCGCACAGCCGAUGGAAUUCAGUCUGUGUAAACAGUUCACCGGAAUUGCAGCCCGAGACCGCUGUCUGAAGCGUAUCGCUCUGAACAAAAUCUCUGUCUGGUUUCCGCCUAUCCACAAUCUACCAAAGGCAGCAUCUGGAGCCUCUAGAUGUGCCCACACCAGCAGCUUUCGGGUCAAUGCUGGAAAAGUCAACAGUUAACUAUUCUCGCUUGAACCCUGUAGUUGAAGCGCAUACUCAGCGGCGGCGCAUAAAAGAGAAAAAAAAAGCUUACUUUACUUACUUGUAUUAAAGUUUAGUCAGAGAGAACACGCAGGCGAACCCGGUCCCCUCGCCUGGUAGAUGCCAGUGUGAGCGGGCCCAAGGCACCAGCUUGAUUAUUUUCCGAAUUGAAAGCGGAUUGUCAGAUGGAACCGCUUAGUGGAUGCUAAUAUCUUCGACCUAACGAAAAAAUUGUUUUGUGCUGAAAUACCUUUUUUAAAGUAUAUGUUAUUGUGCACUCAUGAGUUAAUUCAUCUAUUAUAUUUUUUCGAGUACAGUUCUUUCUCAUUAAUUAUGCAAUAUUGUUUGUCAUAUUUACAUUUUUCUGGUUGCGUUUGUUCAUCAAGCUCUUUUUUGUCUCUCUCUCUCUCUGUCUCUCUAUCUCCCCCCCCCCCUCUCUCUCUUUCUCUCUCUGUCUCUCUCUCUCUCUCUCUCUCUCUCUCUCUC